This 215-nucleotide ribosomal RNA is filed under the name Lachnoclostridium sp. An298. Its description in RNAcentral is "partial 16S ribosomal RNA". It matches the Rfam family "Bacterial small subunit ribosomal RNA", at positions 1 to 192 of the family's 1533-position model. The record is from RNAcentral. Lineage: Bacteria; Bacillati; Bacillota; Clostridia; Lachnospirales; Lachnospiraceae.
UUUUUAACGAGAGUUUGAUCCUGGCUCAGGAUGAACGCUGGCGGCGUGCCUAACACAUGCAAGUCGAGCGAAGCACUUUACUUUGAUUUCUUCGGAUUGAAGAGUUUUGUGACUGAGCGGCGGACGGGUGAGUAACGCGUGGGUAACCUGCCUCAUACAGGGGGAUAACAGUUAGAAAUGACUGCUAAUACCGCAUAAGACCACAGCACCGCAUG